AGUGGCGAACUGGUGAGUAACACGUGGGUAACCUGCCCCGAAGCGGGGGAUAACAUUUGGAAACAAGUGCUAAUACCGCAUAAUUAGUUGGAACCGCAUGGUUCCAACUUGAAAGAUGGCUCUGCUAUCACUUUGGGAUGGACCCGCGCCGUAUUAGUUAGUUGGUGAGAUAAAAGCCCACCAAGACGAUGAUACGUAGCCGACCUGAGAGGGUAAUCGGCCACAUUGGGACUGAGACACGGCCCAGACUCCUACGGGAGGCAGCAGUAGGGAAUCUUCCACAAUGGACGAAAGUCUGAUGGAGCAACGCCGCGUGAGUGAUGAAGGUUUUCGGAUCGUAAAACUCUGUUGUUAAAGAAGAACAAGUGUUAGAGUAACUGUUAACACUUUGACGGUAUUUA
Molecule: ribosomal RNA, 401 nt
Filed under: Apilactobacillus kunkeei
Lineage: Bacteria; Bacillati; Bacillota; Bacilli; Lactobacillales; Lactobacillaceae
Description: bacterial SSU rRNA
Rfam family: Bacterial small subunit ribosomal RNA
Source: RNAcentral